CACGAUAGGACACAAUUCACUUGUAUAUACGCUGUGAUAUGGACAGCAAGUUUCUACCCAGUUGCCGUAAAUAACUGGACUAUGAGUGAGAGUAACGUUGUA
Molecule: non-coding RNA, 102 nt
Filed under: Listeria booriae
Lineage: Bacteria; Bacillati; Bacillota; Bacilli; Caryophanales; Listeriaceae
Also listed under: 1 other name
Description: Purine riboswitch aptamer
Rfam family: Purine riboswitch aptamer
About the family: Riboswitches are metabolite binding domains within certain messenger RNAs that serve as precision sensors for their corresponding targets. Allosteric rearrangement of mRNA structure is mediated by ligand binding, and this results in modulation of gene expression. A class of riboswitches that selectively recognises guanine and becomes saturated at concentrations as low as 5 nM.
Source: Rfam by way of RNAcentral